This is a long non-coding RNA of Brassica rapa (field mustard), 2253 nucleotides long. RefSeq lists it as uncharacterized. NCBI's taxonomy places the organism in Eukaryota, Viridiplantae, Streptophyta, Magnoliopsida, Brassicales, Brassicaceae. The record is from RefSeq and is a predicted model, not a curated record.
ACUUUCCGAAGAUUAUCAGCUUCAACAAAAUGAAAGCACAAAACUCUGCAUCUGGAAGCUUCAAAUCUACUUGAACAAAUCCAGAAAAAAGAGCAACAAAAAAAAAUCAAAACUUUCUCAGGAAUAUAUGUGCUUUGAAAUUCAAAAGGGAAGAAAGAACUGACCCCAACAAAUCCAUAAGCAUAAUUUUGUCUGAGAAUGAUUAAGAGGACAGAUGAAAAAGUAUGCUAAACGUAUUGAUCAACACAAGAACAGCUGGUGAAAGGACAUAAACCUCUUCAUCAAGAAGGAACAUGUCCACUCCCAUCAGCUCUCCUCCCUUUGGGGUUUCCCAGAAUCGUAGAAGACGCGUGACGACCGUAUGGAACAACGACCAGUGCUAACAUUAGAAAAAGGUUUUGUAAGCCACUAUUGAUGCAUGUUUCCUUGUAAGAAGGAGAUGAUACUCUGUUGAAACAACUUGAUCUGAAGAUUUCUGAGACGUUAUUUAUAGAAUUUAUUUUUUAGGGUUUUCAUCUGGACUUUUGAGAAGGAGUCAAUUGAAUAAAUUGUAGUGGGAAAGAUCGAAGGACCAAUCAAAUGGUGAGAAAAAAAGACAAACUCUCAUCGUCAAGGCAAAGCGUUACAGAUCUGAAACCGUAGCGUCGGAAGAUUUCAGAGAUCGUGAACAGUGCAGGGGAACGGCAGAAGGAGAGUUCUGAGUAGUUGGGCUUUGUGAAUAUUGGACAUUGCCAUCCUAAAAAUAAGGCCCAUUUUUGAGAAUAUUUUUUUCAGAUUUCGGGAAAGUGGUAGGUUGAGCGCUGACGUGGCGCAAUUUGCCCAUCUCUCUGUGCUGACGUGGCGCAAGGAGGAAGGACUCAAGCCAACUUUAUUGUAUAAGAUUACCUAAAUAUAUUGAAAAUUUAUGUUUGUGGACCAAGUAAAAAAUCUAAAACAUCUUACUUUCUUUCGGAAAUGGAGGGAGUACUUUUUUUAUGCUUGAGCAUUGUUCCAUAAUCAAAUUCUAAAACAUAAUUUUUAAUUCAAAAAAAAAAUUCUAAAACAUAUUACAACUAUUAGUUUAAAUUUUUUUUCAUCAGAAAGAUUAUUUGUGCCACAUACAAUUUUUUUGCAUGGGUCCGCCCCUGUAUGUUUGCCGAUGAUAUCAUGCAUUAUUGUGUAUUUAGAGCAUACAUGGUGAUGGUAUCUCCGUAAUGUAAAAGAGUUUCUCUACAAAGAUACUCUUCUGCUUAUCUAUACUUUUUUUUUUUCAUUUUAAAUUAUUUUUUUGGUUGAGAAGCUAUGGUAAGAGAUUACCACUGCACUGUUCUCUAUAAUUUAUAAAUCUUAAAACUGGUGGAUUCUGAAACAUCCUUGGAAGCCCAACGCAAAGCAAACAUUAAUACAGCGACAUGUUCUUCCUAACGAAAGAUAUCAUGCAUUAUUGGAGCACUUCUAAACUCUAUUUAAUAAUGGAAAAUAGAAUGAUGUUAGAGAUGCCCUAAAAAAGUAAAAAAAAAAAAAAAAGUAGAAAUAACAAAAUUUCUAAAAAAGUGUAUGAGUUCUUAUGGGUAGUAUCCUCUUGCAUGCAAUUUUCAGAUCGCUUUAAAAAGCUUACAAAUGAAGAUAGUAUGUUGUAUUUUCUUCUAUCUGUGCUCAAGUGGUGUUUAAACCUGGUCUUGGUGUUUACUAUUGGUUAGAGGAAAGUUGGCUGGUUCUCGGAUACUGAAGCGAAGAGGUUUAAACGGUAGUAAGAUGUCUUCGGUUAUGGCUAAAUCCCUCAUGGCUAUGUCGUUGGAGGAAUAAGGUGUUCUUUUUGUCAAGCCGGAUGUGCCUGAAUGUUGUUCUAGUGAAAAUAAUUAUCUAUCAUUUGGUAGGUGCUUAAUCAUGCUUGUCAAAAAUGCCUAGUUUAAUUCUUGAUAUACCAAGCAAGUGGCAAAAAAAUAUGGCUCUGAAUACUUACAAACUGCACCGCAGUUAUAGUAAAAAAAAUAUCAACAUACCUAUAUAUCUAUAUGUUUUUGUUACUAAUACAAUUGCACCGCAUUAGUUCUGCAUGUGUCAUUUGGACGCUAUAACUUGACAAAAAAUUUAUUAUGUGUAAGUACCUCGGUUUUUGUUUGAUAUUUGUAAUAGAAAAAAACAUUAUUCUUCACCAAAAUAUCAGUCUCUUUCUCAAAUAUUUAUUCUCUAUCUAUAGAGUUGUGGGUUUGUAUAUUUAUAAUGGAUACGAUGAUGACAAAUUCAAUUGAAGACAUUAAUCAGAUAGAAAAA